Molecule: ribosomal RNA, 253 nt
Filed under: uncultured bacterium
Lineage: Bacteria
Description: partial 16S ribosomal RNA
Rfam family: Bacterial small subunit ribosomal RNA
Source: RNAcentral
UACGUAGGUGGCAAGCGUUGUCCGGAAUUAUUGGGCGUAAAGCGCGCGCAGGUGGUUUCUUAAGUCUGAUGUGAAAGCCCACGGCUCAACCGUGGAGGGUCAUUGGAAACUGGGGAACUUGAGUGCAGAAGAGGAAAGUGGAAUUCCAAGUGUAGCGGUGAAAUGCGUAGAGAUUUGGAGGAACACCAGUGGCGAAGGCGACUUUCUGGUCUGUAACUGACACUGAGGCGCGAGAGCGUGGGGAGCAAACAGG